Molecule: ribosomal RNA, 538 nt
Filed under: Citrobacter freundii
Lineage: Bacteria; Pseudomonadati; Pseudomonadota; Gammaproteobacteria; Enterobacterales; Enterobacteriaceae
Description: partial 23S ribosomal RNA
Rfam family: Bacterial large subunit ribosomal RNA
Source: RNAcentral
GUGGGUAGUUUGACUGGGGCGGUCUCCUCCUAAAGAGUAACGGAGGAGCACGAAGGUUAGCUAAUCCUGGUCGGACAUCAGGAGGUUAGUGCAAAGGCAUAAGCUAGCUUGACUGCGAGAGUGACGGCUCGAGCAGGUGCGAAAGCAGGUCUUAGUGAUCCGGUGGUUCUGAAUGGAAGGGCCAUCGCUCAACGGAUAAAAGGUACUCCGGGGAUAACAGGCUGAUACCGCCCAAGAGUUCAUAUCGACGGCGGUGUUUGGCACCUCGAUGUCGGCUCAUCACAUCCUGGGGCUGAAGUAGGUCCCAAGGGUAUGGCUGUUCGCCAUUUAAAGUGGUACGCGAGCUGGGUUUAGAACGUCGUGAGACAGUUCGGUCCCUAUCUGCCGUGGGCGCUGGAGAAUUGAGGGGGGCUGCUCCUAGUACGAGAGGACCGGAGUGGACGCAUCACUGGUGUUCGGGUUGUCAUGCCAAUGGCAUUGCCCGGUAGCUAAAUGCGGAAGAGAUAAGUGCUGAAAGCAUCUAAGCACGAAACUUGCC